RNAcentral lists this transfer RNA (76 nucleotides) under Gloiopeltis furcata. Its description in RNAcentral is "tRNA-Val". It matches the Rfam family "tRNA". Rfam says of the family: Transfer RNA (tRNA) molecules are approximately 80 nucleotides in length. Their secondary structure includes four short double-helical elements and three loops (D, anti-codon, and T loops). Lineage: Eukaryota; Rhodophyta; Florideophyceae; Gigartinales; Endocladiaceae. The record is from RNAcentral.
AAGCAAUUAGCUCAAUUAGGGUAGAGCGUUUCGCUUACAACGAAAAAGUUGAUGGUUCGAGUCCAUUAUUGCUUAC